UGGGGAUUAGUGGCGAACGGGUGAGUAACACGUGGGCAAUCUGCCCUGCACUCUGGGACAAGCCCUGGAAACGGGGUCUAAUACCGGAUACUGACCCGCUUGGGCAUCCAAGCGGUUCGAAAGCUCCGGCGGUGCAGGAUGAGCCCGCGGCCUAUCAGCUUGUUGGUGAGGUAAUGGCUCACCAAGGCGACGACGGGUAGCCGGCCUGAGAGGGCGACCGGCCACACUGGGACUGAGACACGGCCCAGACUCCUACGGGAGGCAGCAGUGGGGAAUAUUGCACAAUGGGCGAAAGCCUGAUGCAGCGACGCCGCGUGAGGGAUGACGGCCUUCGGGUUGUAAACCUCUUUCAGCAGGGAAGAAGCGAAAGUGACGGUACCUGCAGAAGAAGCGCCGGCUAACUACGUGCCAGCAGCCGCGGUAAUACGUAGGGCGCGAGCGUUGUCCGGAAUUAUUGGGCGUAAAGAGCUCGUAGGCGGCUUGUCACGUCGGUUGUGAAAGCCCGGGGCUUAACCCCGGGUCUGCAGUCGAUACGGGCAGGCUAGAGUUCGGUAGGGGAGAUCGGAAUUCCUGGUGUAGCGGUGAAAUGCGCAGAUAUCAGGAGGAACACCGGUGGCGAAGGCGGAUCUCUGGGCCGAUACUGACGCUGAGGAGCGAAAGCGUGGGGAGCGAACAGGAUUAGAUACCCUGGUAGUCCACGCCGUAAACGGUGGGCACUAGGUGUGGGCGACAUUCCACGUCGUCCGUGCCGCAGCUAACGCAUUAAGUGCCCCGCCUGGGGAGUACGGCAA
RNAcentral lists this ribosomal RNA (791 nucleotides) under Streptomyces albogriseolus. RNAcentral describes it as "bacterial SSU rRNA". It matches the Rfam family "Bacterial small subunit ribosomal RNA", at positions 86 to 888 of the family's 1533-position model. Lineage: Bacteria; Bacillati; Actinomycetota; Actinomycetes; Kitasatosporales; Streptomycetaceae. The record is from RNAcentral.